RNAcentral lists this transfer RNA (67 nucleotides) under marine eukaryotic metagenome. It matches the Rfam family "tRNA", at positions 5 to 66 of the family's 71-position model. From Rfam's summary of the family: Transfer RNA (tRNA) molecules are approximately 80 nucleotides in length. The record is from RNAcentral.
CCGUAGCUCAGUGGUUAGAGCAGGGGACUCAUAAUCCCUUGGUCGGGGGUUCAAAUCCCUCCGGGCC